AGCGAACGUUAGCGGCGGGCCUAACACAUGCAAGUCGAGCGAGAAAGGGGCUUCGGCCCUGAGUAAAGCGGCGGACGGGUGAGUAACACGUAGGUAAUCUUCCCUUGAGCGGGGGACAACGGUCCGAAAGGACCGCUAAUACCGCAUACGUUUCCAGGGACCUCGGUCUUUGGAAGGAAAGCUAGGUAGCAAUAUCUGGCACUCGAGGAGGAGCCUGCGUCGCAUCAGCUAGUUGGUGAGGUAAUGGCUCACCAAGGCGAAGACGCGUAGCUGGUCUGAGAGGAUGAUCAGCCACACUGGGACUGAGACACGGCCCAGACUCCUACGGGAGGCAG
RNAcentral lists this ribosomal RNA (335 nucleotides) under uncultured Pseudomonadota bacterium. Its description in RNAcentral is "bacterial SSU rRNA". It matches the Rfam family "Bacterial small subunit ribosomal RNA", at positions 29 to 351 of the family's 1533-position model. The record is from RNAcentral. Lineage: Bacteria; Pseudomonadati; Pseudomonadota.